Molecule: ribosomal RNA, 775 nt
Filed under: Vairimorpha apis
Lineage: Eukaryota; Fungi; Microsporidia; Nosematidae
Description: eukaryotic LSU rRNA
Rfam family: Eukaryotic large subunit ribosomal RNA (bases 185-775)
Source: RNAcentral
GCUACUUGAACAAUAUGUAUUAGAUCUGAUAUAAGUCGUAACAUGGUUGCUGUUGGAGAACCAUUAGCAGGAUCAUAACGAAGAAUUACAAUUUUUAGAAUUAGUUUUAUAUUUGCCCACACAUGGGAUCAAUAGGGUACCAUAACGAGGAAGAUCGUAGCGGAAUACGAAAGAUUUAUUGAUCGAAUAUAUUAAUAUAAUAGAUUACCCUUUGAACUUAAGCAUAUCAUUAAAAGGAGGAGAAGAAACUAACUAGGAUUUCUUUAGUAGCAGCGAGUGAACAAGAAACAACCCUUGAUUGUAACCCUUUAUGGAGCUGUAAAUCAUAUAUUUUAUUUCUUAUUUCGUAGAGGAUGUAUAUUCGUUAUAAAUGAGAUAUAUAAAAGUAAUUGAGUAGGGCUGCUUGGUAGUGCAGUUUGAAUAUAGGUAGAAUGAGAUAUCUAAGGUUAAAUAUAAUGGUACACCGAUAGCAAAUAAGUACUGCGAAGGAACUUGUGAAAAUGUGUGGGUUAUAGCCUUAUUUUUAAGGACCCGUCUUGAAACACGGACCAAGGAGAUUAUAAUUAUAGCGAGAUAACAAUGUAGUCGUUAUUAGCUUGAUAAGUUAUAAUUAUAAGACCCGAAACACAGUGAACUAUUCAUGUUCUGGUUGAAGAUAAGCAACAGUUUAUUGGAAGACCAUAAUCAUUCUGACGUGCAAAUCGAUGAUUUAAGAUGUGUAUAGUGGCGAAAGACCAAUCGAACUGUGUGGUAGCUGGUUCACAGCGAAAUGUCU